Molecule: long non-coding RNA, 5411 nt
Organism: Spinacia oleracea (spinach)
Lineage: Eukaryota; Viridiplantae; Streptophyta; Magnoliopsida; Caryophyllales; Amaranthaceae
Exons: 8
Source: RefSeq, a predicted model, not a curated record
UUUAACAAUCUUCUCAUUAGAGGGAUAUAUAUAUAUAUAUAUCCAAUUAGAAGACUGCUAAAAUGAGAAGAAUGAGAAAGAUUAUGCACCGUUUGAUUUAAUAAAUCUGAUGGCUAUAGUUCCGCGGUUUUAUUAAUGGCGAAACGGUCAAUAGAAGUUCUUACAACUUAAAAGAAUACACGUGGUAUGAAGUUGUCCCACAAACCUUUGAACCAAAAAUUAGUACCAGCACCCACCUACCAUCUAAUAUGUCUCUCUCCUCCCCCACUCUCUCUCUCCUUGGCUCCAUCAUACCAAACAAAAUAAGACUACCAUUGUGAUUUAAGAAAUUAUGGAAAGGAAUUGAAUAUCUAGUACCACUAUUUAUUGGAAUUGUUGUAGUUGGAUCUGAUCAGGAAGAUCAACGAGCUUUGAAUUUUUGCCCUCCUUUUUAUCUCUCCUCCAUUUUUUUCAUGUCCAGUCCAUCUAAUUUGGAAACUCAAAGAACUCAAUUUGCAAAUUAGACUUAAUGAUGUAGUCUAGUGGUUAAUUGGUUUAUCGUUAUUAGGUAUAGUGUUAUGUGAUAUUUGUGAGGAAUUUUAUUUUUUUCAAAUUUUCAAUUGAAACUGAGUUUUUUUAUCAUGAAAAAAACAACAGAGCUCUAUAAUUAUAUGGGUGAAUUAGGAGGACUAGAGGAGGGUAAUGGAUGCCCAUGAAUGUGUGAAGAGGAGAGAGAAAAUGGAUCUCUGAAAGUUUGCAGGAAAUAAGUAAAUUUGAUUUUGCUCAUUUGCACAAAUGAGUAACUUUUUUGCUCAUUUGCACAAAUGAGUAACUUUUUUGCUCAUUUGCAUAAAUGAGUUUUUUUUUUUGCUCAUUUGCCUAAAUGAGUAAUUUUUUUUGCUCAUUUACAUAAAUGAGUAAUUUUUUUUGCUCAUUUGCUUAGAUGAGCAAAUUGUUUUUUUGCUCAUUUAGUGAAAUGAGCAAUUUCGUCCAACAUUCAUCUUCUUCUCUCUUUUUGGAUUUUCUAAAUACCAACAAACACCAUGGAAGGCAAGCUUCAGCAUCAUCUCGACAAGGGCAACAAAAACAAAGAAUUAAAUAACUCAAAUUUGUUAUUAAAUCAAAUUAGUUGAAUCUACAGGUGAGGUUGCCAUUGAUGGAUGUGUGAGGAGAGAGAAAAUGAAGGAGGAGGGUUUGGGAGACGGUACAUGCUACCAUGGAUGAAUGAUUGGCGGUGAAUUGUCCUUUUUUGGGGUAAAUAUUUGAUGUCUCUUUACGUGGAUUGUAAUUAAAAUUUAUGAAUUUUUCAUUUUUUUUUCUGGUUUUACAAUGGUGUUGUGGACGAGUGGGCCAUUGUUGAUUGCAGGAGAGGAAGAGGAGAGAGAAACUAGAGUGCUACCAUGGUUGAAUGUAUGAGGAGGAGAGAGAAAAUAGAUUUCAGAAAGUCCAGAAGAAGGAGACCGUGAAAAUUUAAAGAAAUCAAAUCUGAUCUUGACCGUAGGUUUUGUCGCUUAAGAUUUCUUCUCAUUCUUCUCAUUAUAAGGUGUCUUCUCAUUUGAGUGUAUAUAUAUAUAUAUCUCUAUUCUAUAAAGGAACAGCUGAGGACAUAAGAGUAAAACCACUUUUCGUGUCCCCCGGUGAAUUGACGAAAUUACCCCCAGCCUUUCACUCUCGCACAAUCACAUACGGAGUAGCUCUCUUUCUCUCUCCUAGGUCUUCGGCAUCCCUGCUCCCUCCCGUUUUCUCUCUCCUUCCUCUUCAUCUUCUUCCUCUAAUCCUCUUCCACCAAACCCCAUCCUCCAUUCUAAACCCUAAUAUUUCGUGUCUCUUUCACAGGACACGCAGACUCUCUCCUCCACCCAUCGCCAUCGCCAUCGCCGGUUCUUUCGAUUUCAAUUAAUGAGAAUUGGCCACUGCACUCCGCCGUUGUCUCCGCCCUGAGCAGUUCCGCUCUUUUCCUGCCUUCAAAUCGAUCUGAUUGUUGAAUCCAAAUUGAAAUUCAGCCCUUUUCUUCCUAAAACGUUGUGGGUUUCUAUCAAUUCUCGACACAAAAUCUUGGAAACCAAUAAAUUUCUCACCUGGGUAAGCUUCAAUUUCCCUAUUUUCCAUUUUUACUACUAUUUGUAUUUUUGAAUGUUUCAAAAUGAGUUAUAUUUGCUGAUUGGUUUUCGAUUUUCUGUUAUCGGGCCUUUUUUUGGUAAUAUCUUCCAACUACAUUGAAUUGGGUUUAUUUGAAACUUUGAUUUUGAAUUGUAAUGUUGCUGGUUCUUCCGUAUUUUAAUGUAUGCUGAUGAACAAUGAUGCAUGCUCAGUUCACUAUAAAUUUAGACGAUCCUAAAUUAGUGUAAUCAUUUUAAGGUCUUAUAAGCUCUACUUUCUAAGCUCUACUUUCACAAUUUACCAUAGUGUAAUCAUUUUAAGGUCAUUUGAAGAAGAGGAGAGUGUGGUGGAGGAGGAAAGUGAUUCCGACGAUGGUGGGUUAAAGGUGUUUUUUCCAAUUUUGGGAUAUCCUGGAAAUUCGUUUUUAUUUGGGCAAUAAUGCCAAGUUCUUGAAAAAGGUAAUUCUUAUUUCUUUAAUCUUCAGAUGAUUAAAUUUCAUAUUUUCACAGUUAUUAUGAGAUCUGGAGAUUUUGUUGAUCAUGUGCUCUUUCUGAUUUUGGUUUGGAUUUCUUAACAAGCUCUUCGAUAAUCAAAUGGUAUUACAUCUGACCUAAUUUCAGUUUCGAUUUUAUUAUAUUUUUGUGUAAUAUUUCUGUAUUUCGAUAGGAUUUUGAAACCUGUAAUGGAAUUGAGGAAGUUGCUGCAAUUAUUAGAGACAAACAAGAAUGUCGAAGAACUCUUUCUUCUGAUCUCAACGACCAUGUCUCCUUUUAUUUAUUUUCUGCUUAAUUAUGGAUUAAUUCAGCAAUUAAUUACAUUUAAUAAUUGUUUUUUUUGUUAUUCGAUUAUCUUUAGCAGGUGCUGGUUGAAGGAAAUUCGCAUAGUCGUACUGCUGUUUUCUGGCUUGAAUAAACAGGACUACGGGUAUUAUGGGCAAGAAACAAGGGGAAGUAGAAAAGGGGCAGAGGAGAUAUGAUAAUGGUAGUGGGGACUUUUAUACAGAGCCAUCAAUGUAGCGGGUGAUUCCAUCUCGAAUUUCAAAGAAAAACAAGGGCCAGAUAUCACCGAACGAGUUCAUCCCCGGGCUUUUGGAUCUUCACUCUCAUGAUGCUGAACUUCUCACUGAGGUUCAGAACUCGAUCGUCGGCAACUGGAGUAGUCGAUCUUUAUUAGUUGUAGAGCAGUCGAUCGAUCUGCAGCAGCAUACCAAAACUCAGUAGCAGUGCAUUGUAUCGCAUAUGCUGCAUACCAAAGGCCAAAGUUCUAAUAUAUAUUUUUUUUUGGCUAAAUCCUCAAUAACAGAUUGGCAUACAACUGGAUUAGGUUUGGAUGAAAAUUUUCUGUUGGAAUUUUUACUGUUAUGAGAACGAUAUGUUGGACAAUAUUGAUGUAGAUGUGAUUAUACAUUUUGCAUCUCAAAAUUCUAGACAAAAUCGAUUUUUAUGAUUUAUAAUAGGAGUUGAAUGAAGAGGAAAAGUUUAAUGUAUGUUUUUACGGAGUAAUACUUUGUAGAACUAAGUUUAUUUAUCAAGUACUUCGUAGUUUUAUGUUGCUUAAAACUAAUUUUUUUUAUUAAGGGGUCAUUUCUCACAUUUUACCUAAGACCCUCAAAUUAUCAUGAUCGGGGCUGGUGAUAAUUAAAUUUAUUUAAAAAUCAGACUAUUUAGUGUUAAUCACCCAUUAUGAAAGUCUAAACAUAGAAUCAAGCAAUUGUGGAAAAAGUCAAAAUUUAUGCAGUUAGCAAGAAAGGAGAUUAUGAAGUAAGAACUGAACAAAAGUUAGUUAAUGACAGUUGUAAUCACACAUGAAAUCUCUCUCUUUUCCUCCACGGAAGCAAUAAUACCAGCUAGCUAUUCUAAAAUGUGCCUAUUAUUUGUAGUGAUUUACGGUAAUAAAUAUAAUCUCUAUUAAUCUCGCACGCAUCGCGUGCAUAUAAGACUAGUAUUAUAUAAGCCAGCUCUUGAGGUCGUUUUUGUAAAUUAACUUUUCGUGUUCCCCAUUAAAUUUACAGAAUUGUCCACCUUAAAAUAAUCCAUUACACCCUUAAGACCUUGGUAAUUAAAAACAAAUUAAUUAAAAAAAAACUGCUAUCCCAAUUCAAUUAGUAACCGAAAACACUCUGAACCGAAAACACUCAGAAAAUCAAACCAUUCGAAUCUCUCUCCAAAUAUUCAAAAACCCUCAUUCAAUCACCCCUAAAUUGCAGAAUUUCGUAAUCCUUCCUUCAACCACCCCUAAAUUGCUCAUUCAAUCACCCUUCAUUCAAUCGUUAAUGGAUAUCCCUCAAUCAAUCACCCCUAAAUGGCAGGAUUUUGUAAACCCUACCCGAAAAUUUCUGCUUAUUCAAUUGCAUUGCAAUGUUUAAAUUCCAACUUCAAGAAUAUCGAUUUCAAGCAUAUUCAUCAAAUUGCGGUCAAAGAUCGGAACUAAUAGGGGUUGGAAAUUAAUUUCUGUAUUCGACGGAGAAAUUGGAGAUGCACCGCUGUUUCUUCACCAACAUUGGAAACCGGAAACUCUGAUUUUCCGACGACUAGGAAGCUGUGGCGAAAUCAGUUAAUAUUCUGAAGAAUCAUGCGUUUGAAUGGUGCCUGGAUUUUCUAUAGAACAUACGGCCAUGGACACGUGAAAGUUCUUCUUAUAAUUGGUUUAGCUGGGAUACAUGAUUCAUGGGGCCUCAAAUCAGAGGGUUGGCUGGGACUGAGGUACCCAAUGAUGAUGAAUCAACGGUGGUCGGUUGAUGAUGCGAAUGCAGGGAAUGGGAGUAUGGAGGUUUGUGCAGGGAACGGGUCUGGAGCUUGGCUCCUAUGAAAGGUCCGAGUAUACGUAAUUUUUUUACAAGAAUGGUUAUUUUUUUUAUUGAAUUUGAUGUUUAUUUGUGGAAUUGUUGAACAAUUUUAAAUUAUGAGAUGAACUCACAUUAGGAGGUGGUAGUGGUGUCAAACAACAAACUUCAGGCUUCAGAUUCAAAGAUAACUUUAAACCGAUGUCAUAUUAGAGCUGAUUGUCUGAUACAAGUGAAUUUGAUGCGAUUUGAGAUCCAAUACAACAGAAUAACUGAUUUUCUGCUAGGGUUUAUGCUGGGACAAUGUUUUUAGGUUGAAAUAAGCCCUUGAUUGAACUGAACUGAAUAGUGAGAGAACUGCAAUUUUUGCAUUGUGUUUUUUUUGUUAUUGAUCACUAUUCCAAACUUUGGAUUUGUGACUUACACUAAUGUGUUUGAUGCCAAUUUUUAUAUUUUAGUGUCGGCAUUGAACAAAGCUGGGUACCCUGAUAUGUAAAUCAUAGUAGGAGAAGUAGGUUGGCCAACUCAUGGUGAUAUACAUACCAAAUCA